AGCACUACAACGGGUGGAGCUUGCGGUUUAAUUGGACUCAACGCCGGAAAACUCACCGGGGGUGACAGCAAGAUGUAGGUCAAGCUAAAGACUUUACCUGAAUCGCUGAGGGGAGGUGCAUGGCCGUCGUCAGUUCGUACUGUGAAGCAUCCUGCUAAGUCAGGCAACGAGCGAGACCCGUGCCCACUGUUCCCAGCAUGUCCUUCGGGAUGAUGGGUACUCUGUGGGGACCGCUGGUGCUAAACCAGAGGAAGGUGCGGGCUACGGUAGGUCAGUAUGCCCCGAAUCUCCCGGGCUACACGCGGGCUACAAUGGUUGGGACAAUGGGUCCCUACCCCGAAAGGUGAUGGUAAUCUCUUAAACCCAACCGUAGUUCGAAUCGAGGACUGUAACUCGUCCUCGUGAAGCUGGAAUCCGUAGUAAUCGCGUUUCAACAUAGCGCGGUGAAUACGUCCCUGCUCCUUGCACACACCGCCCGU
This 479-nucleotide ribosomal RNA is filed under the name uncultured archaeon. Its description in RNAcentral is "bacterial SSU rRNA". It matches the Rfam family "Archaeal small subunit ribosomal RNA", at positions 875 to 1353 of the family's 1478-position model. The record is from RNAcentral.